This 660-nucleotide ribosomal RNA is filed under the name Petrognatha gigas. Its description in RNAcentral is "partial large subunit ribosomal RNA". It matches the Rfam family "Eukaryotic large subunit ribosomal RNA", at positions 316 to 702 of the family's 3401-position model. The record is from RNAcentral. Lineage: Eukaryota; Metazoa; Arthropoda; Insecta; Coleoptera; Cerambycidae.
CUAAAUACGACCACGAGACCGAUAGCGAACAAGUACCGUGAGGGAAAGUUGAAAAGCACUUUGAAGAGAGAGUUCAAGAGUACGUGAAACCGUUCAGGGGUAAACCUGAGAAACCCGAAAGGUCGAAAGGGGAAAUUCAUUCGCGUUUCGGCGCUCGAAGCGAGACGGUCGAGCGACGGACGGCGUACGCGUCGUCCGCGCCUUUCGUUUCGCGCGUCGGCGUCGAACGCGUGCACUUUUCCCCUAGUAGGACGUCGCGAUCCGUUGGGUGUCGGUUUAAGGCUCGCGCGGUGGAGCCCGAGCGUACGUUUUCGACGUUCGCGCUCGGACCCGUCGUGUCCCGACCGACUCGCUCGACGGUAUACGGAUGGCGCGGGGCCGCUAUUUCAUACAGUUAGCGUUCGGCCCGCGGCAAGCGCGUUCGGUACACACACACACGAAGACGGCGGCGAUCGGACCCGGUGCCGAUCCCGUCCCCGAACGACUGUUGGCCGCGGUGGGGCGAUGAGAGGGGGGGUGUUCUCUUUCUCUCUCUCGCUUCCUCGAACAGACCUCGAUUUUCGAAACGCCGAUCUGCGACGCUAUAGCUUUGGGUACUUUCAGGACCCGUCUUGAAACACGGACCAAGGAGUCUAGCAUGUGCGCGAGUCAUUGGGACAU